AGUGAACGCUGGCGGUAGGCUUAACACAUGCAAGUCGAACGGCAGCACAGUAAGAGCUUGCUCUUACGGGUGGCGAGUGGCGGACGGGUGAGGAAUAUAUCGGACUCUACUUUUUCGUGGGGGAUAACGUAGGGAAACUUACGCUAAUACCGCAUCCGACCUACGGGUGAAAGCAGGGGAUCUUCGGACCUUGCGCGAUUGAAUGAGCCGAUGUCGGAUUAGCUGGUUGGGGGGGUAAUGGCCCACCAAGUCGCCGAUCCGUAGCUGGUCGGAGAGGAUGGUCACCGACACUGGAAGUUGGACACGGUCCUGACGCCUGCGGUAGGCAGCAGUGGGCUAUAUUGGGCAACAGGGGCGAGCCUUGCCCAGCCGGACCGCGUGGGUUGAGAAGGCCUUCCGUUUGUAAAGACGGUCUGUUGGUAAUGAAAAGCAUUAGGUUGAGACGACGCUGUUCUGACGGUACCCAGUGAAUAAGCACCGGCUAACUACGUG
This 492-nucleotide ribosomal RNA is filed under the name uncultured bacterium. Its description in RNAcentral is "partial 16S ribosomal RNA". It matches the Rfam family "Bacterial small subunit ribosomal RNA", at positions 29 to 507 of the family's 1533-position model. The record is from RNAcentral.